GGGAAUGUGGCUUAGUGGUAGAGUAGCUUGCCUUGUAUGCAAGAAGCCCUGGGUUUGAUUCCUCAGUACCA
This is a non-coding RNA of Dipodomys ordii (Ord's kangaroo rat), 71 nucleotides long. The record is from Rfam. NCBI's taxonomy places the organism in Eukaryota, Metazoa, Chordata, Mammalia, Rodentia, Heteromyidae.